GCUCCGUUGGUCUAGUGGUAUGAUUCUCGCUUAGGGUUCACCCUGAGUACUCAGCCUUUGUCUGCGAGAGGUCCCGUGUUCGAACCACGGAUGGAGCC
Non-coding RNA from Terfezia boudieri ATCC MYA-4762, 98 nucleotides. Lineage: Eukaryota; Fungi; Ascomycota; Pezizomycetes; Pezizales; Pezizaceae. The record is from the annotation of a GenBank genome assembly.